CAGUCGCGCGGGAAUACAGAGGGUGCGAGCGUUAAUCGGAUUUACUGGGCGUAAAGCGUGCGUAGGCGGCUUCUUAAGUCGGAUGUGAAAUCCCUGAGCUUAACUUAGGAAUUGCAUUCGAUACUGGGAAGCUAGAGUAUGGGAGAGGAUGGUAGAAUUCCAGGUGUAGCGGUGAAAUGCGUAGAGAUCUGGAGGAAUACCGAUGGCGAAGGCAGCCAUCUGGCCUAAUACUGACGCUGAGGUACGAAAGCAUGGGGAGCAAACAGGAUUAGAUACCCGUGUAGUCCCUGUCUCUUAUACA
RNAcentral lists this ribosomal RNA (301 nucleotides) under uncultured bacterium. RNAcentral's name for it is "partial 16S ribosomal RNA". It matches the Rfam family "Bacterial small subunit ribosomal RNA", at positions 509 to 808 of the family's 1533-position model. The record is from RNAcentral.